This 496-nucleotide ribosomal RNA is filed under the name uncultured bacterium. RNAcentral's name for it is "partial 16S ribosomal RNA". It matches the Rfam family "Bacterial small subunit ribosomal RNA", at positions 28 to 506 of the family's 1533-position model. The record is from RNAcentral.
GACGAACGCUGGCGGCGUGCCUAAUACAUGCAAGUCGAGCGAACAGACCAGGAGCUUGCUCCUCGCACGUUAGCGGCACACGUGUGUGUAACACGUGUAUCACCUACCUAUAUGACUGGUAUCAUUUCGAGACUCCGGCGCUAAUACCAUAGAAUCUAUUGCACCGCGUUGGUCAAUGGUAAGAGUCGGCUGUUCGGUCUCUUCUAGAGGGAUCCGCGCCUCAUGAGCUAGUUGGUACGGUAACGGCUUACCAAGGCAACGAUGCGUAGCCGACCUGAGAGGGGGAUCGGCCCCUCAGGAGCUGAGAGACGGUCCAGACUCCUAGGGGAGGCAGAAGUAGGGAAGCUAGCGAAAAGGGCGAAAGCCUGACGGAGGAACGCAGCGUGAGUGAUGAAACGCCUCGGAUCGGAAAACUCUGUUAUGAGGGAAGAACAAAUGUGUAAGUAACGAUGCGCGUCUGGACGGAAUGGGUACAGAAGGCCACGCCUAACUACUG